This 442-nucleotide ribosomal RNA is filed under the name uncultured bacterium. RNAcentral describes it as "partial 16S ribosomal RNA". It matches the Rfam family "Bacterial small subunit ribosomal RNA", at positions 338 to 795 of the family's 1533-position model. The record is from RNAcentral.
CCUACGGGGUGCAGCAGUGGGGAAUAUUGGGCAAUGGACGCAAGUCUGACCCAGCAACGCCGCGUGAAGGAAGAAGGCUUUCGGGUUGUAAACUUCUUUUAAGGGGGAAGAGCAGAAGACGGUACCCCUUGAAUAAGCCACGGCUAACUACGUGCCAGCCGCCGCGGUAAUACGUAGGUGGCAAGCGUUGUCCGGAUUUACUGGGUGUAAAGGGGGCGUAGACGGUUAUGAAAGUCUGAAGUGAAAGCCCAAGGCUGAACCAUGGGAGUGCUUUGGAAAUGGUAAAGCUGGAGUGGAGGAGAGGUAAGCGGAAUUACGAGUGUAGCGGUGAAAUGCGUAGAUAUUAGGAGGAACACCAGUGGCGAAGGCGGCUUACUGGACUGUAACUGACGUUGAGGCUCGAAGGCGUGGGGAGCAAACAGGAUUAGAUACCCGAGUAGUC